This 77-nucleotide transfer RNA is filed under the name bacterium. Its description in RNAcentral is "tRNA-Ile". It matches the Rfam family "tRNA". From Rfam's summary of the family: Transfer RNA (tRNA) molecules are approximately 80 nucleotides in length. Their secondary structure includes four short double-helical elements and three loops (D, anti-codon, and T loops). Further hydrogen bonds mediate the characteristic L-shaped molecular structure. tRNAs have two regions of fundamental functional importance: the anti-codon, which is responsible for specific mRNA codon recognition, and the 3' end, to which the tRNAs corresponding amino acid is attached (by aminoacyl-tRNA synthetases). tRNAs cope with the degeneracy of the genetic code in two manners: having more than one tRNA (with a specific anti-codon) for a particular amino acid; and 'wobble' base-pairing, i.e. permitting non-standard base-pairing at the 3rd anti-codon position. The record is from RNAcentral.
GGAGCCAUAGCUCAAUUGGUUAGAGCCUCCGACCCAUAAUCGGAUGGUUGCAGGUUCAAGUCCUGCUAGCUCCACCA